GGUUGAUUAACACGUGGAUAACCUACCUGUAAGACUGGGAUAACUUCGGGAAACCGGACCUAAUACCGGAUAAUAUAUUGAACCGCAUGGUUCAAUAGUGAAAGACGGUUUUGCUGUCACUUAUAGAUGGAUCCGCGCCGCAUUAGCUAGUUGGUAAGGUAACGGCUUACCAAGGCAACGAUGCGUAGCCGACCUGAGAGGGUGAUCGGCCACACUGGAACUGAGACACGGUCCAGACUCCUACGGGAGGCAGCAGUAGGGAAUCUUCCGCAAUGGGCGAAAGCCUGACGGAGCAACGCCGCGUGAGUGAUGAAGGUCUUCGGAUCGUAAAACUCUGUUAUUAGGGAAGAACAAAUGUGUAAGUAACUNUGCACGUCUUGACGGUACCUAAUCAGAAAGCCACGGCUAACUACGUGCCAGCAGCCGCGGUAAUACGUAGGUGGCAAGCGUUAUCCGGAAUUAUUGGGCGUAAAGCGCGCGUAGGCGGUUUUUUAAGUCUGAUGUGAAAGCCCACGGCUCAACCGUGGAGGGUCAUUGGAAACUGGAAAACUUGAGUGCAGAAGAGGAAAGUGGAAUUCCAUGUGUAGCGGUGAAAUGCGCAGAGAUAUGGAGGAACACCAGUGGCGAAGGCGACUUUCUGGUCUGUAACUGACGCUGAUGUGCGAAAGCGUGGGGAUCAAACAGGAUUAGAUACCCUGGUAGUCCACGCCGUAAACGAUGAGUGCUAAGUGUUAGGGGGUUUCCGCCCCUUAGUGCUGCAGCUAACGCAUUAAGCACUCCGCCUGGGGAGUACGACCGCA
Molecule: ribosomal RNA, 800 nt
Filed under: Staphylococcus sp. VC-YC6664
Lineage: Bacteria; Bacillati; Bacillota; Bacilli; Caryophanales; Staphylococcaceae
Description: bacterial SSU rRNA
Rfam family: Bacterial small subunit ribosomal RNA
Source: RNAcentral